AAUUUCAGAAAAUUUCCCUAUUCUUUUUUUCUCUAAUUUUCAUUUUCAAAAUGGGAUUUUAAAAGCUAAAACAAUUUGCAUGAAAACUACCAAUAACCCUCUCUGAUUAGCUGAUGGUCAUAUUCCUGGGGCUGAUCAUGACAGGAAUGUAGAAAGAGAUGACAACAAAAUUCCAUAGGUACCUUUUAGUGAUAAACUUGGCUCCUUUGUCUUUGUCACCUUACCUGCCUCCAGCCAAAUUCCCUUUUGUCCCAUGGGCUCUUCCUGUGUACAAGCCAUUUUGGAGUGGAGAUGAAGGAGCUUGGUGGCAAAUGCCACCAUCAGCAUCACCCACAAACAUUCACUGACCAUCAUGAAGGCAUAAAGAGAUAGAGAACUCAUUCCUUGCUUUCAAUGACCUUAUAUUGUGCUCUUUAGAAAUGUAGAAUCGUUGACAUUUUAAAUGGAUGGACCAUGGAUGUUAUGGAGGACGCCAAGAGUAAACUCACUUUGAAAUGCCUGAGAGGCUGAAUUGUGUCCCCACAAAAGAUGCUGAAGUCCUAACCUCCAGUACCUGUGAAUAUGACCUUAUUUGAAUAAGGUGUUUGCAGAUGAUCAAGGUAAGAUGAAGUCAUUCAUUAGGAUGGGCCCCUAAUCCACUAUGCCUGAUGUUCUUAUAGAGAGGGGAAAUUUGAAAAUAAAAAAGUAUAUAAAUUAGGAAAAGAGAAAGGGAAAAUUUAAGCACAGAGACAGACACACACAAAGGAAGAUAAUGUGAAGACACAGAAAGGAGACAGCCAUCUACCAGCCAGGGGACACCUGAGGUUACCAGAAGCUGGGAGACAGACAUGGACCCAAUUCUCCCUUACUGCCCUCAGAGGGAACAAACCCUGCUGGCACCUUGACUUCAGGCUUCUGUGAGACGGCACACUUCCUUUGUGUAAGCCACCGAGUUUGUCGUACUUUAUUAUAGCAGCCCCAGCGAGCUAAGACGCCUUCCUAGACCCAUACUAUUUAAAAGUGCACUCUCUGUACCCCUUCUUUUCUCGAGUACUGUCAAACAGCAUAGAUGUGGCUAUUUGGAUACUUGCUCAAGUAUUUCUUUAUAGUUGGUCUCCCUCCGCUGGAAUGUAAGCAUCACGGAAGAGAAGACUUUUGUAGAUUUUCUUCAUGGAUUCCUAGCACCCAGAAUCAGUCCUGUCUUUACGCCCGUCAUGCUGUGGGAGGCCCUCUCUGGCCCUCCUCCAGCCCUGCCCCGCCCCACCCGGUGAGGAGUCUGUGCAGUCAAGCGGAUGUGCUUUCUUGAUGUACGUAGUCCAAUUUGGUCAACACUUACUGACUGCUCACAUUUCAUAAUAGAAAUAGUUUACUUUUCUGGUAGAGUUCUUAAUAGAAUCCUUGAUGUGAAAAGUUGAAAGAGGUCCUCAUUGAUUAUCAUGUCUAAACCCCAAUUAUAUUAGUCAGGACUCUUUGUUGCAAGUAACAGAAAAUCUAACCCCAACUGGUUUACAGAAUAAAGGGAAUUUACUGGCUCAUGUAACUUAAAAGUCCAGAUAUAUGGUGGUUUCCAGGCAAACCUUGAUCCCAGGCUCAGUCAUCUCAACAAUGGUUUGGUUUAUUAUCAUGUCUUUCUCUGCCUUCCACACUGCCUGUUGUAUCUGAAGGCCAGCUUCUCUGUUGUCACAAGGUGAUUACCAGCAACUUUCGUGGACUUAAUGCUUUUUCAUUCCCAUCCGGGUGGAAAAGAGCAUCUCUGUAGGUCGCUUCCAUAGCAGAGUGAGAAAGUUUCUUUCCCCGAAAUCUCCAGCAAAUGCCUUCUUGUCUUGCAUUCCAUUUGCCUGGAGGGGGAACUUGCUCACCUUUGACCAGUGACUGUGGCCAACAGGGUGACAGGGUGUGAUGAUUAGUUUGUGCCAAACAGGGUUUGUCCCUUGUGAUGGUUAAUUUGAUAUGUCACUUAGGCUGGGACAGGGGGAUCCCAGGCAUUUGGUUAAACAUGAUUUGGGGUGUGCCUGUGAGGAUGUUUCUGGACGAGAUAAACAUUUGAAAUAGUAGACUGAGUAACGCAGAUUGCCCUCCCCAAGGUGGGUGGGCCUCAUCCAAUCUUUUGCAGGCCUGGCUAGAACAAAAGUUGGGGUAAGGAAGAAUUCACUCUCUCUGCCUGUUUUUGAGCUGGGACGUUGGUUUCGUCCUGUACUCAGAUUGGAACUUAAACCAUCAGCUCUGCUGGUUCUCCAGUUUGCAGACAGCAGACUGUGGGACUUCUCGGCCUCCAUAAUCACAUGAGCUAGUUCUUUAUAAUAAAUCUCUUUAAAU
Molecule: long non-coding RNA, 2295 nt
Filed under: Equus asinus (donkey)
Lineage: Eukaryota; Metazoa; Chordata; Mammalia; Perissodactyla; Equidae
Description: lncRNA (ENSEASG00005037917.1)
Source: RNAcentral